Molecule: ribosomal RNA, 472 nt
Filed under: uncultured bacterium
Lineage: Bacteria
Description: bacterial SSU rRNA
Rfam family: Bacterial small subunit ribosomal RNA
Source: RNAcentral
CGCUGACACUCCUACGGGAGGCAGCAGUGGGGAAUAUUGCACAAUGGGCGCAAGCCUGAUGCAGCCAUGCCGCGUGUAUGAAGAAGGCCUUCGGGUUGUAAAGUACUUUCAGCAGUGAGGAAGGUGGAGUCGUUAAUAGCGGCCUCAUUUGACGUUAGCUGCAGAAGAAGCACCGGCUAACUCCGUGCCAGCAGCCGCGGUAAUACGGAGGGUGCGAGCGUUAAUCGGAAUUACUGGGCGUAAAGCGCAUGCAGGUGGUUUGUUAAGUCAGAUGUGAAAGCCCGGGGCUCAACCUCGGAAUUGCAUUUGAAACUGGCAGACUAGAGUACUGUAGAGGGGGUAGAAUUUCAGGUGUAGCGGUGAAAUGCGUAGAGAUCUGAAGGAAUACCGGUGGCGAAGGCGGCCCCCUGGACAGAUACUGACACUCAGAUGCGAAAGCGUGGGGAGCAAACAGGAUUAGAUACCCUGGUAG